This 107-nucleotide small nuclear RNA is filed under the name Spermophilus dauricus (Daurian ground squirrel). Lineage: Eukaryota; Metazoa; Chordata; Mammalia; Rodentia; Sciuridae. The record is from RNAcentral.
GUGCUCGCUUCGGCAGCACAUGUACUAAAAUUGGAACCAUACAGAGAAGAUCAACAUGGCCCCUGGGCAAGAAGUGAAGGCAGACUUGAGCUCCCAGAAGAAAGAAU